GACGAACGCUGGCGGCGUGCUUAAUACAUGCAAGUCGAACGGAGCCUAGCUGGUGGUUUACUACCGGCGAAAGCUUAGUGGCGGACGGGUGAGUAACGCGUGGGUAAUCUGCCCCUAAGUCCGGGAUAACAGAGCGAAAGUUCUGCUAAUACCGGAUACUCUUCCCGGGUCGCAUGGUCUGGGAAGGAAAGGUUUACUGCUUAGGGAUGAGCCCGCGUCCCAUUAGCUAGUUGGUGAGGUAAGGGCUCACCAAGGCCACGAUGGGUAGCCGGCUUGAGAGAGUGACCGGCCACACUGGAACUGAGACACGGUCCAGACUCCUACGGGAGGCAGCAGUGGGGAAUAUUGCACAAUGGGCGAAAGCCUGAUGCAGCGACGCCGCGUGAGCGAAGAAGGCCUUCGGGUCGUAAAGCUCUGUCCUAUGGGAAGAUAAUGACGGUACCAUAGGAGGAAGCCCCGGCUAACUACGUGCCAGCAGCCGCGGUAAUACGUAGGGGGCGAGCGUUGUC
This 509-nucleotide ribosomal RNA is filed under the name uncultured bacterium. Its description in RNAcentral is "bacterial SSU rRNA". It matches the Rfam family "Bacterial small subunit ribosomal RNA", at positions 28 to 545 of the family's 1533-position model. The record is from RNAcentral.